CAAAUAGUAAUGACGGAAAAAAGUAGGUUUAUGGGUGCUAAACAGAGAGCCGGUGGUUGGUGCGAACCGGUUAGUGACAUAUACUGAAGUACCUUCCUGAACUGCGAAGCUGAACAUACAGUAGGCUGAGCCGGCGUGGCUGCCGUUAUUUGGCUAUAAGGUGAUCUGAUUCGAGAUUAUUAGGGUGGUACCGCGGAACUUUCCGUCCCUUGC
RNAcentral lists this non-coding RNA (213 nucleotides) under Anaerosporomusa subterranea. RNAcentral describes it as "Anaerosporomusa subterraneum T-box sequence". It matches the Rfam family "T-box leader". Rfam says of the family: Uncharged tRNA acts as the effector for transcription antitermination of genes in the T-box leader family. The record is from RNAcentral. Lineage: Bacteria; Bacillati; Bacillota; Negativicutes; Acetonemataceae.